Molecule: ribosomal RNA, 432 nt
Filed under: uncultured bacterium
Lineage: Bacteria
Description: partial 16S ribosomal RNA
Rfam family: Bacterial small subunit ribosomal RNA
Source: RNAcentral
ACGAACGCUGGCGGCAGGCCUAACACAUGCAAGUCGAGCGAGGACUUCGGUCCUAGCGGCGGACGGGUGAGUAACGCGUGGGAACGUGCCCUUUGCUUCGGAAUAGCCCUGGGAAACUGGGAGUAAUACCGGAUGAGCCCUUUGGGGGAAAGAUUUAUCGGCGAAGGAUCGGCCCGCGUUGGAUUAGGUAGUUGGUGGGGUAAUAGCCUACCAAGCCGACGAUCCAUAGCUGGUUUGAGAGGAUGAUCAGCCACACUGGGACUGAGACACGGCCCAGACUCCUACGGGAGGCAGCAGUGGGGAAUCUUAGACAAUGGGGGAAACCCUGAUCUAGCCAUGCCGCGUGAGCGAUGAAGGCCUUAGGGUUGUAAAGCUCUUUCAGCUGGGAAGAUAAUGACGGUACCAGCAGAAGAAGCCCCGGCUAACUCCGUG